Molecule: ribosomal RNA, 418 nt
Filed under: uncultured bacterium
Lineage: Bacteria
Description: bacterial SSU rRNA
Rfam family: Bacterial small subunit ribosomal RNA
Source: RNAcentral
GGGAAUAUUGGACAAUGGCUGAAAAGCUGAUCCAGCCAUCCCGCGUGAAGGCAGAAGGUCCUAUGGAUUGUAAACUUCUUUUCUCUGGGAAGAAAAGGCGGGUUUCUACCUGCUCUGACGGUACCAGAGGAAUAAGCACCGGCUAACUCCGUGCCAGCAGCCGCGGUAAUACGGAGGGUGCAAGCGUUAUCCGGAUUCACUGGGUUUAAAGGGUGCGUAGGCGGGCUUGUAAGUCAGUGGUGAAAGCCCGGGGCUCAACUCCGGAACUGCCGUUGAUACUGCAAGCCUUGAGUACAGUUGAGGUGGGCGGAAUACAUCAUGUAGAGGCGAAAUUCUUAGAUAUGAUGUAGAACACCGAUUGCGAAGGCAGCUCACUAAAGUGUAACUGACGCUGAGGCACGAAAGCGUGGGGAUCAAA